Molecule: unclassified non-coding RNA, 300 nt
Organism: Callithrix jacchus (white-tufted-ear marmoset)
Lineage: Eukaryota; Metazoa; Chordata; Mammalia; Primates; Cebidae
Rfam family: Metazoan signal recognition particle RNA
About the family: The signal recognition particle (SRP) is a universally conserved ribonucleoprotein. It is involved in the co-translational targeting of proteins to membranes.
Source: Ensembl
GCUGAGCACAGUGGCACAUGCCUGUAGUCCCAGCUAUUCGGGAGGCUGAGGCUGGGGGAUCGCUUGAGCCCAGAAGUUCUGGGCUGUAGUGCGCCAUGCCGAUCAGGUAUCUGCACUAAGUUCAGCAUCAAUACCGUGACCUCCCGGGAGCAGGGGACCACCAGGUUGCCUAAGGAGGGGUGAACCGGCCAAGGUUGGAAAUGGAGCAGGUCAAAACUCCUGUGCUGAUCAGCAGUGGGAUUGCUCCUGUGAAUACCCACUGCAUACCAGCCUGGGCAACAUAGCAAGACCCGGACUCUA